Molecule: long non-coding RNA, 584 nt
Organism: Pan troglodytes (chimpanzee)
Lineage: Eukaryota; Metazoa; Chordata; Mammalia; Primates; Hominidae
Exons: 4
Source: RefSeq, a predicted model, not a curated record
AGUUCUGUUGCAACUGUUCUAACUGUCAUUACUGGUGUACAGAGAAGAGCUUCACUGAGGAUCCCUUUCAGGAUGCUGUGACUCCCUUUACAAUUAUAUUUCUCACUGCCUUGGUAAAGGGUCUUUUGGACUCUUCUUGGAUGUAGUUUAGCGGUUCAGAUGCAGCUGAUCUUCAGCUCCAGCUCCAGUGGGCAUGUUACUCAGGUCUGGCCAAUCAGUAUGUUCCAUGCCCACAAUGAUUGGUUCAAGAAUGCACAUAUGACAGAGCCCUGGACAAUGAGAUUCCAUUUCAGGACUUAAUCUGGAACUGUUGUGCAGCUUUGCAGAAAUGCUGGAGGCUUCACAGAAAGAGAGACUAAGAAAGACUGAGGACUGUUAAGCAUGCCCUAUCCUAUUAUCAAACACUUCACUCCAGGGAGAUUAGGACACAGACGUAUACCGAGGGAAGGCCAAGUAAAAAGGAAGGAGAAGGCCAUCCACAAGCCAAGAAGAGGGGUUCCAAUGAAAUGAACCCUGCUGACACCUUGUUCUCAGACUUCCAGGCCCCAGAAUUGUGAGAAAAUAAAUUUUUGUUCAUUAAGUUA